AUGAACGCUGGCGGCGUGCUUAACACCUGCAAGUCGAACGAAGCACUUUAUUUGAUUUCCUUCGGGACUGAUUAUUUUGUGACUGAGUGGCGGACGGGUGAGUAACGCGUGGGUAACCUGCCUUGUACAGGGGGAUAACAGUUGGAAACGGCUGCUAAUACCGCAUAAGCGCACAGCAUCGCAUGAUGCAGUGUGAAAAACUCCGGUGGUAUAAGAUGGACCCGCGUUGGAUUAGCUAGUUGGUGAGGUAACGGCCCACCAAGGCGACGAUCCAUAGCCGACCUGAGAGUGUGACCGGCCACAUUGGGACUGAGACACGGCCCAAACUCCUACGGGAGGCAGCAGUGGGGAAUAUUGCACAAUGGGCGAAAGCCUGAUGCAGCGACGCCGCGUGAGCGAAGAAGUAUUUCGGUAUGUAAAGCUCUAUCAGCAGGGAAGAUAAUGACGGUACCUGACUAAGAAGCACCGGCUAAAUACGUG
RNAcentral lists this ribosomal RNA (480 nucleotides) under uncultured bacterium. RNAcentral describes it as "partial 16S ribosomal RNA". It matches the Rfam family "Bacterial small subunit ribosomal RNA", at positions 29 to 507 of the family's 1533-position model. The record is from RNAcentral.